AUUGAACGCUGGCGGCAUGCCUUACACAUGCAAGUCGAACGGCAGCACGGGUGCUUGCACCUGGUGGCGAGUGGCGAACGGGUGAGUAAUACAUCGGAACAUGUCCUGUCGUGGGGGAUAGCCCGGCGAAAGCCGGAUUAAUACCGCAUACGAUCUACGGAUGAAAGCGGGGGACCUUCGGGCCUCGCGCUAUAGGGUUGGCCGAUGGCUGAUUAGCUAGUUGGUGGGGUAAAGGCCUACCAAGGCGACGAUCAGUAGCUGGUCUGAGAGGACGACCAGCCACACUGGGACUGAGACACGGCCCAGACUCCUACGGGAGGCAGCAGUGGGGAAUUUUGGACAAUGGGCGAAAGCCUGAUCCAGCAAUGCCGCGUGUGUGAAGAAGGCCUUCGGGUUGUAAAGCACUUUUGUCCGGAAAGAAAUCCUUGGCCCUAAUACGGUCGGGGGAUGACUGUACCGGAAGAAUAAGCACCGGCUAACUACGUG
This 486-nucleotide ribosomal RNA is filed under the name uncultured bacterium. RNAcentral describes it as "partial 16S ribosomal RNA". It matches the Rfam family "Bacterial small subunit ribosomal RNA", at positions 30 to 507 of the family's 1533-position model. The record is from RNAcentral.